This is a long non-coding RNA of Capra hircus (goat), 356 nucleotides long. RefSeq lists it as uncharacterized. The record is from RefSeq and is a predicted model, not a curated record. Lineage: Eukaryota; Metazoa; Chordata; Mammalia; Artiodactyla; Bovidae. The transcript is spliced from 4 exons.
GAACCGCAGGGCCGCCUCCAACCCCACCCCGCCCACAAUUUGAGGUUCCGCCCACUGCCUUGGGAGCUCCGUUCUGGCCUCUGGAUGCGGAAGCUCUAGAGAAGAAACCGAGUUGGUCCUGGCAAGCGCACCCAGCAGGUCUGGGUCACCCGGCAGAGCACCAUCUCCCACCACCACCACACUCUAGAGAAGAAAGUGUUGGUUUCUGGCAGGCGCACUCCAGCAGGUCUGGGUCACCCGGCAGAGCACCAUCUCCCACCACCACCAAGCUACCCAGGUGUUUAUGUGCUUCCUGGACUCCUCCGUAGCGCUGACAAAGUCCAGCUCUUCCAUCUCUGCUUGGUAGAACACGUGGC